Molecule: ribosomal RNA, 608 nt
Filed under: Catharsius sesostris
Lineage: Eukaryota; Metazoa; Arthropoda; Insecta; Coleoptera; Scarabaeidae
Description: eukaryotic LSU rRNA
Rfam family: Eukaryotic large subunit ribosomal RNA
Source: RNAcentral
GAGUCAUUGGGACUAAACAUAAACCUAAAGGCGCAAUGAAAGUAAAGGCCCGCCUAGCGCGGGCCUAGGGAGGAUGGGCCGGUCACGGUGCCGGCCCCGCACUCCCGGGGCGUCUCGUUCUCAUCGCGAGAAGAGGCGCACCCAGAGCGUACACGCUGGGACCCGAAAGAUGGUGAACUAUGCCUGGUCAGGACGAAGUCAGGGGAAACCCUGAUGGAGGUCCGUAGCGAUUCUGACGUGCAAAUCGAUCGUCGGAACUGGGUAUAGGGGCGAAAGACUAAUCGAACCUUCUAGUAGCUGGUUCCCUCCGAAGUUUCCCUCAGGAUAGCUGGCGCUCGCCUUUGCGAGUCUCAUUCGGUAAAGCGAAUGAUUAGAGGCAUUGGGGUCGAAACGGCCUCAACCUAUUCUCAAACUUUAAAUGGGUGAGAUCUCCGGCUUGCUUGAAGCUUGAACGCCGCGAGAGAUCGGAUCACAGAGUGCCAAGUGGGCCACUUUUGGUAAGCAGAACUGGCGCUGUGGGAUGAACCAAACGCCGAGUUAAAGCGCCUAAAUCGACGCUUAUGGGAUACCAUGAAAGGCGUUGGUAACUUAAGACAGCAGGACGGUGG